RNAcentral lists this ribosomal RNA (302 nucleotides) under Amoebophrya sp. Its description in RNAcentral is "SSU rRNA". It matches the Rfam family "Eukaryotic small subunit ribosomal RNA", at positions 595 to 906 of the family's 1831-position model. Lineage: Eukaryota; Dinophyceae; Syndiniales; Amoebophryaceae. The record is from RNAcentral.
UAGCGUAUAUUAAAGUUGUUGCGGUUAAAAAGCUCGUAGUUGGAUUUCUGCUGAGGACGGUCGGUCCGCUCUCUGAGCGUGUAUCUGACUUGGCCUUGGCAUCCUCUCGGGACGUCUGCGCUUGAUUGCGUGGGCGGUGUUCGAGACUUUUACUUUGAGGAAAUUAGAGUGUUCACGGCAGGCCAACGCCUUGAAUAUGUUAGCAUGGAAUAAUAAUAUAGGAUCUUGGUUCUAUUUUGUUGGUUUCUAGAGCUAGGAUAAUGAUUAAUAGGGACAAUUGGGGGCAUUCGUAUUAAGGCGCU